CCUACGGGAGGCAGCAGUGGGGAAUAUUGGGCAAUGGGCGAAAGCCUGACCCAGCAAUGCCGCGUGAAUGAAGAAGGUCUUAGGAUUGUAAAAUUCUGUCCUAUGGGAAGAAAACAAUGACGGUACCAUAGGAGGAAGCCCCGGCUAACUACGUGCCAGCAGCCGCGGUAAUACGUAGGGGGCGAGCGUUGUCCGGAAUUACUGGGGGUAAAGAGUGCGUAGGCGGCAGUACAAGUCUAAUGUGAAAUACCCGGGCUUAACGUGGGGGUUGCAUGGGAAACUGGAGAGCUUGAGUACAGGAGAGGCAAGCGGAAUGCCUAGUGUAGCGGUGAAAUGCAUAGAGAUUAGGAGGAACACCAGUGGCGAAGGCGGCUUACUGGACUGUAACUGACGCUGAGGCUCGAAAGCGUGGGGAGCAAACAGGAUUAGAUACCCGUGUAGUC
RNAcentral lists this ribosomal RNA (443 nucleotides) under uncultured bacterium. Its description in RNAcentral is "partial 16S ribosomal RNA". It matches the Rfam family "Bacterial small subunit ribosomal RNA", at positions 338 to 795 of the family's 1533-position model. The record is from RNAcentral.